Molecule: non-coding RNA, 241 nt
Filed under: Bacillus methanolicus MGA3
Lineage: Bacteria; Bacillati; Bacillota; Bacilli; Caryophanales; Bacillaceae
Source: RNAcentral
GAGGACGUUAUCACUUUAAUAUAGAGGGAAAAAGAGGCUGUCUCAUAAGGGUCUGACCUCAUGUGAAUUUAUCAAUAUAUAGCACAAUUAUCCUACAUUAUGUCCUAUAUAUUGUGUUAUGGGGUCUGACCCUUAGGCUUUUGAGACAGCCUCGUCAACGAAUCCCAUUAUUUACUCGUCAAAGUAAACCCGGGAGUCAUAAGUCUUCAUCUUAAAAAAUUCCAGGGGUAGGGGGAACAAC